UGGGGAAUUUUGGACAAUGGGCGAAAGCCUGAUCCAGCAAUGCCGCGUGUGUGAAGAAGGCCUUCGGGUUGUAAAGCACUUUUGUCCGGAAAGAAAUCCUUGGCUCUAAUACAGUCGGGGGAUGACGGUACCGGAAGAAUAAGCACCGGCUAACUACGUGCCAGCAGCCGCGGUAAUACGUAGGGUGCAAGCGUUAAUCGGAAUUACUGGGCGUAAAGCGUGCGCAGGCGGUUUGCUAAGACCGAUGUGAAAUCCCCGGGCUCAACCUGGGAACUGCAUUGGUGACUGGCAGGCUAGAGUAUGGCAGAGGGGGGUUAGAAUUCCACGUGUAGCAGUGAAAUGCGUAGAGAUGUGGAGGAAUACCGAUGGCGAAGGCAGCCCCCUGGGCCAAUACUGACGUUCAUGCACGAAAGCGUGGGGAGCAAACAGGAUUAGAUACCCUGGUAGUCCACGCCCUAAACGAUGUCAACUAGUUGUUGGGGAUUCAUUUCCUUAGUAACGUAGCUAACGCGUGAGGUUGACCGCCUGGGGAGUACGGUCGCAAGAUUAAAACUCAAAUGAAUUGACGGGGUCAUAGCUG
This 580-nucleotide ribosomal RNA is filed under the name uncultured bacterium. Its description in RNAcentral is "partial 16S ribosomal RNA". It matches the Rfam family "Bacterial small subunit ribosomal RNA", at positions 355 to 932 of the family's 1533-position model. The record is from RNAcentral.